UACGUAGGGUGCAAGCGUUAAUCGGAAUUACUGGGCGUAAAGCGUGCGCAGGCGGUUUUGUAAGUCUGUCGUGAAAUCCCCGGGCUCAAUCUGGGAAUUGCGAUGGAGACUGCAAGGCUAGAAUCUGGCAGAGGGGGGUAGAAUUCCACGUGUAGCAGUGAAAUGCGUAGAGAUGUGGAGGAACACCGAUGGCGAAGGCAGCCCCCUGGGUCAAGAUUGACGCUCCAUGCACGAAAGGCGUGGGGAGCAAACAGG
This 255-nucleotide ribosomal RNA is filed under the name uncultured bacterium. RNAcentral's name for it is "partial 16S ribosomal RNA". It matches the Rfam family "Bacterial small subunit ribosomal RNA", at positions 524 to 776 of the family's 1533-position model. The record is from RNAcentral.